This is a non-coding RNA of Salmo salar (Atlantic salmon), 54 nucleotides long. Lineage: Eukaryota; Metazoa; Chordata; Actinopteri; Salmoniformes; Salmonidae. The record is from Rfam.
AAUGUAAUGUAAUGUAAGUGGCUCUGGAUAAGAGCGUCUGCUAAAUGACUUAAA